GCUGACUUGCAUGUUAGGACUUCUAAAGAAAGCUGCAUCUUACCUUGGGAACACAGGUGGAAUGGAGAGAUACUCUCUAGAGAAAAAGGUGUGUUAUCAUUUGAAAUGAAGGAGGGAGGCAUCUUGGGUCCAGUUCCUAAUCAGGAAUCACCAUGGAAACAGGAGCUACCCCCUUAUACCUUUCUUGUGAGGAAGUGAGGAAGCAAGAACCCCACAGGUGAAGUCCCUACAUAGGAAGGAGUCGUCACCCAUAAUUCUGUCUAACUCCUCCCAUCACUGUCAUCCAGCUGCUUCACUGUGUCUGCUGUGCAGGAAAAGCAGGAAUCCCAGAAGCAGGUGGUGGGAAGGACAGAGAUGGAAGGAUUGUUUCUGGAGUACCUGCCUGCAAUAACCAGUUAUUUCUGCAGAGCAAGUAUUCAGUUUUUCUUCUGCUUGGACAAGGAGGAAAAGCAAGGUCUGUCAAAAAGGCAAGUGCACGCGAAUUGUAGCACAGACUUCACUUGAUAACAUCACAGAGGUCUAAUUAGCCUUUAGAGUGUACAGGACAGACACCAAGUUCAGGAGUUAUUUUUAUUCCUUCAGAUCUCCUAGAAAUGUCUUGCUUUUGGCAGUUCACAUACAAGUGGAGACAACUCUGCGAAGUAUUGCCACUAGUGACUUCGCCCUUCUCAGUGAGCUGGAGAAGGAAGAAGACCGGAUGGGCUCAGUCUCACCUCCUGUCUCAAUAUGUGUCCUGUGUGCUGGAAACAUCCCACCUCAAGGUAUGGGGUCAGGAAGGAGAGAUGGCAUUUGUUUUCCCCAGUCACUGUUACAUGUGAUAGAGCCCUGCUUUCCUGGAAAUUACUGAGCACCUUCCAAUGACAAGCAGUGAAUGAAUUCCCUUUUUUUUUGUUAGUUUGUAUGUAUAGCUUCUGCUUUCCUUAUUAAACUGUCUUUCUCUCAACCCAAGAGUUUUCAGUCUUUUCCAGUUCACUCCCUCAUGCCACUGGGGGUAAAUGAGUGAGUGACUGGGUGGUGCCUAGUUGUCAUCUGGGGUUAAAUCACAACACAACUAUGGAACACUCUUACAAAAGUAGUACUUGAGUUACAUGAAAAAUCAGAUUAUUCUAGACAUAGCAGCAGUUGAGUGAAAAUAUAACCAAAAGAACAGAGCUGGACUAAGACUGUGGAAAUAGUUUUGAUUUGAUAUUCAGGGAAUAUUAAAGUUAUUGUAUUCAGGUCUAAUGAACCAUCAGUGUUUCAAGGGUCAGAAAUAUCUUAAAGGGACAUUUCAGGACACCUAAGAUAGACCUGAAUCCUUCUUUGGAAAUAGCUUCCUUUUUCAUUCUGCUUUUUAGGGCCAUAAAAAAAUAAUUUAAAAACUCUCCAUUUAGUUAGGAAACAAAACUCUAUUAGUUAGGAAACAAAAUUUCCAUUGAGUUAAUUUAAUCUAAAGAUAAUAAUAAUUGCAAGUUGCAUCCUCUAGUUUCACCUAUUUAUUUGUAGAAUAAAUCUAUUGAUGCCAAAUUUUUUAAGAGAACUUGGUGGCAAAAUGGCAGUGUUUCUUUGGAGGUAAUUACUUUUAUUAAAUGAUGCAUUGGUUUUGAAGUCAAAACGUUGAUGAUCCAUCAUUUUCUCGCAUUUGCUUUAAAUAAGACUGCGAUUGAACCUGUCCCAUCAGCACAUCACAGUGUGGAAGCGAAAUAUACUUUGGAAGUACAGUUAGCUUGAUUGCAUGGUACCCUUUUCAGUUAAAAAUAAGUAAUGGAUUUUUCAAAUUGCAUGGGUAAUCUGAAUGAACUAAGACUUAAAAAGCUUGGACAGCCAUUUCUGUGGGAUGAGGAUGCAGGCUGCAGUUAAACUAUGUUACUUUGAAUACCUCUUCGACUACCAGUCUGUGUUCAAAGUCAGAUCCACACUACAAAAAUAGGCAGAUAUGCUGGUUACAA
Molecule: non-coding RNA, 1928 nt
Organism: Zonotrichia albicollis (white-throated sparrow)
Lineage: Eukaryota; Metazoa; Chordata; Aves; Passeriformes; Passerellidae
Source: RefSeq, a predicted model, not a curated record